RNAcentral lists this ribosomal RNA (2322 nucleotides) under Shigella sonnei. Its description in RNAcentral is "partial 23S ribosomal RNA". It matches the Rfam family "Bacterial large subunit ribosomal RNA", at positions 474 to 2781 of the family's 2925-position model. Lineage: Bacteria; Pseudomonadati; Pseudomonadota; Gammaproteobacteria; Enterobacterales; Enterobacteriaceae. The record is from RNAcentral.
UCCUGACUGACCGAUAGUGAACCAGUACCGUGAGGGAAAGGCGAAAAGAACCCCGGCGAGGGGAGUGAAAAAGAACCUGAAACCGUGUACGUACAAGCAGUGGGAGCACGCUUAGGCGUGUGACUGCGUACCUUUUGUAUAAUGGGUCAGCGACUUAUAUUCUGUAGCAAGGUUAACCGAAUAGGGGAGCCGAAGGGAAACCGAGUCUUAACUGGGCGUUAAGUUGCAGGGUAUAGACCCGAAACCCGGUGAUCUAGCCAUGGGCAGGUUGAAGGUUGGGUAACACUAACUGGAGGACCGAACCGACUAAUGUUGAAAAAUUAGCGGAUGACUUGUGGCUGGGGGUGAAAGGCCAAUCAAACCGGGAGAUAGCUGGUUCUCCCCGAAAGCUAUUUAGGUAGCGCCUCGUGAAUUCAUCUCCGGGGGUAGAGCACUGUUUCGGCAAGGGGGUCAUCCCGACUUACCAACCCGAUGCAAACUGCGAAUACCGGAGAAUGUUAUCACGGGAGACACACGGCGGGUGCUAACGUCCGUCGUGAAGAGGGAAACAACCCAGACCGCCAGCUAAGGUCCCAAAGUCAUGGUUAAGUGGGAAACGAUGUGGGAAGGCCCAGACAGCCAGGAUGUUGGCUUAGAAGCAGCCAUCAUUUAAAGAAAGCGUAAUAGCUCACUGGUCGAGUCGGCCUGCGCGGAAGAUGUAACGGGGCUAAACCAUGCACCGAAGCUGCGGCAGCGACGCUUAUGCGUUGUUGGGUAGGGGAGCGUUCUGUAAGCCUGCGAAGGUGUGCUGUGAGGCAUGCUGGAGGUAUCAGAAGUGCGAAUGCUGACAUAAGUAACGAUAAAGCGGGUGAAAAGCCCGCUCGCCGGAAGACCAAGGGUUCCUGUCCAACGUUAAUCGGGGCAGGGUGAGUCGACCCCUAAGGCGAGGCCGAAAGGCGUAGUCGAUGGGAAACAGGUUAAUAUUCCUGUACUUGGUGUUACUGCGAAGGGGGGACGGAGAAGGCUAUGUUGGCCGGGCGACGGUUGUCCCGGUUUAAGCGUGUAGGCUGGUUUUCCAGGCAAAUCCGGAAAAUCAAGGCUGAGGCGUGAUGACGAGGCACUACGGUGCUGAAGCAACAAAUGCCCUGCUUCCAGGAAAAGCCUCUAAGCAUCAGGUAACAUCAAAUCGUACCCCAAACCGACACAGGUGGUCAGGUAGAGAAUACCAAGGCGCUUGAGAGAACUCGGGUGAAGGAACUAGGCAAAAUGGUGCCGUAACUUCGGGAGAAGGCACGCUGAUAUGUAGGUGAAGUCCCUUGCGGAUGGAGCUGAAAUCAGUCGAAGAUACCAGCUGGCUGCAACUGUUUAUUAAAAACACAGCACUGUGCAAACACGAAAGUGGACGUAUACGGUGUGACGCCUGCCCGGUGCCGGAAGGUUAAUUGAUGGGGUCAGCGCAAGCGAAGCUCUUGAUCGAAGCCCCGGUAAACGGCGGCCGUAACUAUAACGGUCCUAAGGUAGCGAAAUUCCUUGUCGGGUAAGUUCCGACCUGCACGAAUGGCGUAAUGAUGGCCAGGCUGUCUCCACCCGAGACUCAGUGAAAUUGAACUCGCUGUGAAGAUGCAGUGUACCCGCGGCAAGACGGAAAGACCCCGUGAACCUUUACUAUAGCUUGACACUGAACAUUGAGCCUUGAUGUGUAGGAUAGGUGGGAGGCUUUGAAGUGUGGACGCCAGUCUGCAUGGAGCCGGCCUUGAAAUACCACCCUUUAAUGUUUGAUGUUCUAACGUGGACCCGUGAUCCGGGUUGCGGACAGUGUCUGGUGGGUAGUUUGACUGGGGCGGUCUCCUCCUAAAGAGUAACGGAGGAGCACGAAGGUUGGCUAAUCCUGGUCGGACAUCAGGAGGUUAGUGCAAUGGCAUAAGCCAGCUUGACUGCGAGCGUGACGGCGCGAGCAGGUGCGAAAGCAGGUCAUAGUGAUCCGGUGGUUCUGAAUGGAAGGGCCAUCGCUCAACGGAUAAAAGGUACUCCGGGGAUAACAGGCUGAUACCGCCCAAGAGUUCAUAUCGACGGCGGUGUUUGGCACCUCGAUGUCGGCUCAUCACAUCCUGGGGCUGAAGUAGGUCCCAAGGGUAUGGCUGUUCGCCAUUUAAAGUGGUACGCGAGCUGGGUUUAGAACGUCGUGAGACAGUUCGGUCCCUAUCUGCCGUGGGCGCUGGAGAACUGAGGGGGGCUGCUCCUAGUACGAGAGGACCGGAGUGGACGCAUCACUGGUGUUCGGGUUGUCAUGCCAAUGGCACUGCCCGGUAGCUAAAUGCGGAAGAGAUAAGUGCUGAAAGCAUC